Molecule: ribosomal RNA, 420 nt
Filed under: bacterium
Lineage: Bacteria
Description: partial 16S ribosomal RNA
Rfam family: Bacterial small subunit ribosomal RNA
Source: RNAcentral
UGGGGGAUAUUGCACAAUGGGCGAAAGCCUGAUGCAGCGACGCCGCGUGGGGGAUGAAGGCUUUCGGGUUGUAAACCUCUUUCGCUAUCGAACAAGGCCCGCUUAGGGUGGGUUGAGGGUAGGUGGAGAAGAAGCGCCGGCUAACAACGUGCCAGCAGCCGCGGUAAUACGUAGGGCGCGAGCGUUGUCCGGAAUUAUUGGGCGUAACGGGCUUGUAGGCGGCUUGUUGCGCCUGCUGUGAAAACGCGGGGCUUAACUUCGCGCGUGCAGUGGGUACGGGCAGGCUUGAGUGUGGUAGGGGUGACUGGAAUUCCAGGUGUAGCGGUGGAAUGCGCAGAUAUCUGGAGGAACACCGAUGGCGAAGGCAGGUCACUGGGCCAUUACUGACGCUGAGGAGCGAAAGCAUGGGUAGCGAACAGG